CCUACGGGCGGCAGCAGUAGGGAAUAUUGCUCAAUGGAGGAAACCCUGAAGCAGCAACGCCGCGUGGAGGAUGAAGGUUUUCGGAUUGUAAACUCCUUUUGUUAGAGAAGAUAAUGACGGUAUGUAACGAAUAAGCAACGGCUAACUCCGUGCCAGCAGCCGCGGUAAUACGGAGGGUGCAAGCGUUACUCGGAAUCACUGGGCGUAAAGAGCGCGUAGGCGGUAUAGCAAGUCAGAUGUGAAAUCGUAUGGCUAAACCAUAGAACUGCAGUUGAAACUGUUAUUCUAGAGUAUGGGAGAGGUAGGUGGAAUUCUUGGUGUAGCGGUAAAAUCCGUAGAGAUCAAGAGGAAUACUCAUUGCGAAGGCGACCUGCUAGAACAUAACUGACGCUGAUGCGCGAAAGCGUGGGGAGCAAACAGGAUUAGAUACCCGAGUAGUC
Molecule: ribosomal RNA, 440 nt
Filed under: uncultured bacterium
Lineage: Bacteria
Description: partial 16S ribosomal RNA
Rfam family: Bacterial small subunit ribosomal RNA
Source: RNAcentral